Molecule: long non-coding RNA, 494 nt
Organism: Peromyscus leucopus (white-footed mouse)
Lineage: Eukaryota; Metazoa; Chordata; Mammalia; Rodentia; Cricetidae
Exons: 2
Source: RefSeq, a predicted model, not a curated record
GCUCAAAGACAUUAGGUCAGAGGUGGAAGUCGCUACUGCAUGGCUGUUAAGAAGACGAAGACAGGCUGGGAUAAUGUUGACUGUCCGUCUGCAGCUCUCCGCCUCUACAAUUACAAGGUUCCAGUCCGCCUGCACGGCCUCCAAGCCAGACGUGCCUUUUUCGGGCAGCCUCUGCCCGCACUGGUUCUCUCGCUCUUCUUUGGUGGGAAUAUCUUCCAGAAGCCUCCUCAAAGAUUGCUCACGGAUGAGAAUCCAUUCUGGCUGCUCUCCCCUGCCCUCCAAGAUCUGCCAUUUCUGAGGCCUGCUGCUCUGAGCCUGGGACUCUCGUGGAGAUCUACGAGACAGUGACAUUUCUAAUGUGUAUCAGCAAACUCUCCGCCACCCUCCUGCUGCUACCAAGAGUUCAAGUCCUAGGGUUCCAUUUAAUUGUGGUCUCCCCUGCUUGAAUUGUUCAUUUCCCAUUAAUAAAGUUCCCCUUGGUCGCUUGCCCUUAA